Molecule: ribosomal RNA, 460 nt
Filed under: uncultured bacterium
Lineage: Bacteria
Description: partial 16S ribosomal RNA
Rfam family: Bacterial small subunit ribosomal RNA
Source: RNAcentral
CCUACGGGCGGCAGCAGUGAGGAAUAUUGGUCAAUGGACUAGAGUCUGAACCAGCCAAGUAGCGUGAAGGAUGACUGCCCUAUGGGUUGUAAACUUCUUUUAUAUGGGAAUAAAACGUUCCACGUGUGGGAUUUUGUAUGUACCAUAUGAAUAAGGAUCGGCUAACUCCGUGCCAGCAGCCGCGGUAAUACGGAGGAUCCGAGCGUUAUCCGGAUUUAUUGGGUUUAAAGGGAGCGUAGGUGGAUUGUUAAGUCAGUUGUGAAAGUUUGCGGCUCAACCGUAAAAUUGCAGUUGAAACUGGCAGUCUUGAGUACAGUAGAGGUGGGCGGAAUUCGUGGUGUAGCGGUGAAAUGCUUAGAUAUCACGAAGAACUCCGAUUGCGAAGGCAGUUCACUGGACUGCAACUGACACUGAGGCUCGAAAGUGUGGGUAUCAAACAGGAUUAGAUACCCUUGUAGUC